GCGCACAAGCCACCUAUCGCACGCACAGGCCUACUAUGCACAGGCCUCAGGCGCACAGGGGCCUAUCCACUCAGGCCUAGUGCAUGGACGGCGUGCACACAGUGUUCGACACCUGUUUGCGUGCAAGGUGAUGCAUAGAUGGGCUACCUACACGUCGCACGCAGGGUUUGACCCCAUGCCGCGCACGCGGAUGUGAUGUGUGCGUUGCGCGCACAUCCUGCGCUUGCUCUACGUUCG
This 237-nucleotide long non-coding RNA is filed under the name Carica papaya (papaya). RNAcentral's name for it is "long non-coding RNA (CPAP_LNC004304)". The record is from RNAcentral. Lineage: Eukaryota; Viridiplantae; Streptophyta; Magnoliopsida; Brassicales; Caricaceae.